Molecule: ribosomal RNA, 483 nt
Filed under: uncultured bacterium
Lineage: Bacteria
Description: bacterial SSU rRNA
Rfam family: Bacterial small subunit ribosomal RNA
Source: RNAcentral
GAUGAACGCUGGCGGCGUGCUUAACACAUGCAAGUCGGACGGACACAUCUUUCGGGGUGUGUUAGUGGCAGACGGGUGCGUAACACGUAGGUAACCUGCCCUGGAGUGGGGAAUAAUUCCGCUAACGCGGGACUAAUACCGCAUAGGCUCGGUAGCGUGAGGCUACUGCGUAAAGCUGAGAGGCGCUUCAGGAUGGGCCUGCGGCGGAUUAGGUAGUUGGUGGGGUAACGGCCUACCAAGCCGAUGAUCCGUAGGGGGCGUGAGAGCGUGGCCCCCCACACUGGCACUGAGAUACGGGCCAGACUCCUACGGGAGGCAGCAGUUGGGAAUUUUCCACAAUGGGCGAAAGCCUGAUGGAGCAACGCCGCGUGCAGGAAGAAUGCCUUCGGGUUGUAAACUGCUUUUAUGUGCGAAGAAUAUGACGGUAGCAUAUGAAUAAGGGUCGGCUAACUACGUGCCAGCAGCCGCGGUAAUCUAUCUACG